GACGAACGCUGGCGGCGUGCUUAAUACAUGCAAGUCGAACGGAAAGGCCCUGCUUUUGUGGGGUGCUCGAGUGGCGAACGGGUGUGUAACACGUGAGUAACCUGUCCUUGACUUUGGGAUAACUUCAGGAAGCUGGGGCUAAUACCGGAUAGGAGCUCCUGCUGCAUGGUGGGGGUUGGAAAGUUUCGGCGGUUGGGGAUGGACUCGCGGCUUAUCAGCUUGUUGGUGGGGUAGUGGCUUACCAAGGCUUUGACGGGAGGCCGGCCUGAGAGGGUGACCGGCCACAUUGGGACUGAGAUACGGCCCAGACUCCUACGGGAGGCAGCAGUGGGGAAUAUUGCACAAUGGGCGGAAGCCUGAUGCAGCAACGCCGCGUGCGGGAUGACGGCCUUCGGGUUGUAAACCGCUUUCGCCUGUGACGAAGCGUGAGUGACGGUAAUGGGUAAAGAAGCACCGGCUAACUACGUG
RNAcentral lists this ribosomal RNA (468 nucleotides) under uncultured bacterium. RNAcentral's name for it is "partial 16S ribosomal RNA". It matches the Rfam family "Bacterial small subunit ribosomal RNA", at positions 28 to 507 of the family's 1533-position model. The record is from RNAcentral.